GGGACUAAAGUUAUAAUUUUGUGAUUCCUUAUUUGCAUUAAGGAGGUGCGCUUAGCGCUAGUCUUA
Molecule: transfer RNA, 66 nt
Filed under: Pediculus humanus corporis (human body louse)
Lineage: Eukaryota; Metazoa; Arthropoda; Insecta; Psocodea; Pediculidae
Also listed under: 1 other name
Description: tRNA tRNA-Ala
Source: RNAcentral